This 274-nucleotide ribosomal RNA is filed under the name uncultured bacterium. RNAcentral describes it as "partial small subunit ribosomal RNA". It matches the Rfam family "Bacterial small subunit ribosomal RNA", at positions 26 to 285 of the family's 1533-position model. The record is from RNAcentral.
AGAAUCAACGCUGGCGGCGUGCCUAACACAUGCAAGUCGAACGCGAAAGCCCCGCAAGGGGUAAGUAGAGUGGCAAACGGGUGAGUAACACGUGGGUGAUCUGCCUCAGAGUGGGGGAUAACGACCCGAAAGGGUCGCUAAUACCGCAUAACAUCCUGCCUUUGGAUAGGUGGAGAUCAAAGUUGGGGAUCCGCAAGGACCUGACGCUUGGAGAGGAGCCCGCGGCCGAUUAGCUAGUUGGUGAGGUAACGGCUCACCAAGGCAACGAUCGGUA